This is a long non-coding RNA of Macadamia integrifolia, 1230 nucleotides long. RefSeq lists it as uncharacterized. The record is from RefSeq and is a predicted model, not a curated record. NCBI's taxonomy places the organism in Eukaryota, Viridiplantae, Streptophyta, Magnoliopsida, Proteales, Proteaceae. The transcript has 2 exons.
UCUCUCUCUCUCAAUGAUAAAAAAAAAAAAAAUGACAAUCUAUUAAGUUUGGAAGCUUUGUGGGCAUCUAAUUAUCAGUAGAAUGGAGGGUUUUGUUAACCCUAAAGGUCACUUUUGCAUUGGAGAUUACCACGAUUUCAAAUUGGAUCCAUCAAAAUGGUCUCCACCAUGUUCUUUUUCUGAACUAUGUACUUGUGUUUCACUAAAAUGUUGGUUGAUAUGGCCCAAUUGCUACAUCACUGUGGACAGUUGAGAAAGUUGGUUAGUCCUACCCAUAACUCUUUGGGACAAGAGGUAGGUUUUCUCCUUCGUAUAUUUUUACUGCCAUUACUGAUGACUUCUUACAUCACACAACAUCAUCUAAACUUGAAGCAGUUAUUAAGUCAAAUGUUACAAAAUUAAACUAUAGCUUUACUAGAAAGUAUGGAGCCUUUCUCUAUGUCUACACACACAAACAAUAAACCCUAAAAAAAACAAGAAAAUCUUAUUCUAUCAUGAAUUCCAUUAGAGCAUAUUACUAAUAUUUCAUAGUUACUCCUCCCUUUUCAUUAUAUUUAAUUCAAUGUUGAUGAUUCUUCCAUUGGAUCUCCAGACCCAUGUUAGAGGCAUUUUUCAUGGAAGGUUCGUAUUUGAUUGGCCAUAGUUAUUGGGCUUUAGACUUUAUUUCUUUUGUUUUCAUGAUGACUUAAGAGUCCAUGGCCUAGGGCGAUAAGGCUUCUCAGAUUUUUGUCUGAACUUGAGUGAGCCCAAUUUUCUUAGGUCAAUUAAGAUUAACCUAACUUUUAUCUCUAUUCAUUUUAUGCUUUUCUUUUUAAUGGAAGGUUCAUCACUGGUGUUGCAGAGCAUGUGGGGGAUUACUAUUGCAGAUGUUACAGAGGCUUUUGCCAUUUGGAACUUGUUAUUGCAGCCUACAGGGGCAUUGGCAACAUUAUUGUGGAGAUCAAAUCUCUUAGAGAGAAUUCCUUAAUCGGCAAAUUGGGAUCCAAAAGCUUGGGCGUGAGAGAAAUGGAGAAACUGUGGGAGGAUUGGAUGGGGCCAGGUGGGGGGCUUAUGCAGCCACUUUCUUCCACUUCAUUGCUGUUGCAAAGAAUAUCAUCUCAAGCUUCAACAAAUAGCAAUAUCUUGCCCCGCUACAAAUUUGUCUGAUCAAUCUUGUUUCAUUGUUUCUAUUUCAUGCUUAUGGAACCUAUGACUCAGUUGCACUUAUGAAAUUAUAUAUACUUUUUUUAA